RNAcentral lists this long non-coding RNA (3100 nucleotides) under Fragaria vesca (wild strawberry). RNAcentral describes it as "long non-coding RNA (FVES_LNC003177)". Lineage: Eukaryota; Viridiplantae; Streptophyta; Magnoliopsida; Rosales; Rosaceae. The record is from RNAcentral.
UUUGUACUUUGUAUAUCUCAAUUUUUCUACCAUUCAAAUUUACAUGGUUAAGCAUAAUUUAUUUGGUUAACAACCGACUGCAAGAACAUCGAAAGGGAGGACUUGACAGGUCAUCAUUGAAGAUGCCAAGUGGACGUGGAUGAGUGUCUCCGAUCCAUCUCAUCACGCCGUGUGGAUGAAUGUCUACGUUACAAAUCAGCUACACACCUACCUGUUCUUGCUGAGGUCUCGAAUACCAUCGUUACAAGUACUAAGAGAUUUUUUUCGACUGGAACAAGUACUAAGAGAUUAUGAUACAGAAUUUAUGAAUAGAACGUUAACAAUUAAGGAAGGCAGAUGUCGGUAGAGUACCACUGCCUGACCCUUGCGGUGUCUUUGUCCUUAGCAGGCAACAAUGGCUUUGUGCAGCAGCCUAUAUAUGCACACGUACGUAACAGUACGUUAUCUUAGCUUUCUAUUAUAGCACCUGGCUCGUUCAUUUCUCUCUAGCUCCGAGUGUACACUUCAAUGGCUUCUAAGUCCCAAGAGAACUACAUCGAUGGAGGACUUGAAGAGAGAAGAAGAUGGUGAUGAACAGUUCAGCUACAUGCUCUUCUUACCAGAGAAGGGAAGCCUCUGGGACUUGUUUAGGUACGCCGUUUUGGGGGACAUAGACAAUGGGGCUCAGUUCUCAGUUCCUGGAGAGCUCGGAGAAAGAGAUGGUGGCAUGCGUGGCUCAAGAGCUUAGAUGGGGCAUGGUGGUCAUCCUAGCAUUCCGCAAAUUCGCAGCUCUUUUUGGGAAGUCAUUGAAUUUGAGUGGCAACGUUGUCGACUUCCUUCUGAACUUGCUCUCUCUCAAUGGGAACCUCUUUGGCUUGCUUUGCAAUCUUCUCCAUGGUAACUAAAGAUAAACCCUUUUACAACUAUUUUAUGUCAUCACUUAUGUUUUGGUUGUGCUUCACUACUAAGCAUGGAUAUAGUUCAAAAAUGGUUCCCUUUUGGAAUUCUUUGUUCAUACAUUCUAUUAAGAAGUUGUGUGACUUGUGUCUACUUACAUAGUUACAUAUGCAUUCAUCCAUGCUAAUGAGUAAGCAGGAACAGUGGUAGUGCCGCAGAGGGGUACCGCGAAUUUUGUUAGUAUAAAUGGUCAUCUGGAUGGGCGGAUAGAUCUGUCCAAGAAGGGUGACAGCUUAGUAGAAGACAUAGUUGCUUCUGAUAAAUCUGAAGAAUCAAGAAUGCAAUCACAAAUGGGAAACCCUGCUCUUAUGGAGCUCACCAUUAUGGCUGCCUGACUUGGCUCAUAAACUCGCAAGCGUAUGAAUCUUGUCAAGUAAGGGAAAUAUUUAGACCUUAGUUAUCGUACCACGAGGAUUAGGUUGGACCUAACCAAGGUAAUCGGCUUAAGAAUACUAAAAGGCACACAAGAAAAAUAAAAUAAAGACAAAGAAAACUAUAAACAAACACUCAAGGCACCAAGCCUUGGCAAUGCUCGGCCUAGCUCACACUAAGCCUAAUCAAAACCACUAACUUGUACCUUAAGGGUGGUUAUGCACAAAUGAGUUGAUAGUUGAAAAGAAAUUGAAUUGGGGAUUAACUAAAUUAAUGCAAACUACAAUGAAAAGUAAACAACUAACUAACAAGUUAGAAAGUAAAUUUGGUUUUUCAAAUCAAUGGGGACAUGGGAAUGGUCUUGAGGCCAACCUCAUAAAUACAUGCAUUCCCUAAUGUGUCAAGUCUCAUAUCUAAUGCCGGUCAAGUCUCAUAUCUAUCCUUGAGGCCAACCUCAUAACCCUCUUGUAAAUAUUGACGCCAACCUCAUAAAUACAUGCAUUCCCUAAUGUGUCAAGUCUCAUAUCUAAUACCGGUUAGGGCUACUAGACCAAUUAUCCUUACGGUGUAUCGAUUAUGCCGGUUAAGGCCACAAUCAACUCUCUAAUAUAGGCACUACGCCGGUUAAGGCUGCAAUAUCUAAAUUAGAGGCCUAGAGUGCAAGAUAAUAGAGACCCAAGCAAGCUUAGCUACAAUUAAGCUAGCUAAUGGUUACCAUGCUCAAAUCCUAGAUGCCACAAGACUAACAAGUAGUCAACUCAUUAUUUUACUCAUCACAAUUGCUCACAACAUAAUUUCAAAAGGUGACUAGGCCUAGAAACAUGCUUCUAAGGACCAAUAAAAAUUGCCUACACAAUGAAAAUUGUAUGUAUUAUAAUUAAAGCAUCAAUGUCAUUACAAGAUGGGUUAGGGCUUCACAACCCUAACUCCCAAAGUCAAACUACUCACUACCCAUUAGCAAAUACAUCAUCCAAUACAUGAGAAAUGAAGAGAAAGGAUAGAGAAGAGAGAAACACAAGCUAGGUUCACCAAUUGCUAUGAGCAAGUAUGAACCACUUGAAAUUGAGUUUCCUCUCUUUACCAAACUUAAAUCUCCUUGUGUUGGUGAAGCCUUGAUGCUUGUUGGUGAGAGCCCUUCUUAAUCCCUUUUGAAGAUGAAAAUGGUCUUGAGGAGAAUGGUGGCCUUGAGGUGAAUGGAAGAGAAUGGUGAAGGGGUGCGGCUGUGUUUGUGAAGAAGAAAGAAGAGAGGAUAGAAUGAGAUGGUCCCCUAGGUCUCGGUGAGGCUGGUUUUGAUGAAGAGGAGCAGCUGCCACGUGACGCAAGCUGAAUGGAGGAGAGGACAAAAAGGAUGAAGCUUUGUGCUGCACGGUUGCACAAGAUUUGUUCACCUCAAUUAAUCAUACAAUGAUCAAUUAAUGAUUAAUUAGCUUAACGAAACUCCAGCUCUCUUUAAUUUCAAAUCCAUGUGCUUCAAUUUUGCUCAAAUAUCACCAUUUUCUAUCCGAAAUCCAAAUUUCCACUUAUUUUUUACAAAUAAAUAAAAUUAGAUUAAUUACAUUAUAAUUAACUUAAAGAUUAGUUAAAUCCUAACGUUAAAGUAGUAAUUACGUAUAUAUAAAUGCACGUAAUCACUGCCAAGUUAGCAUAUGAGAAUGCCAAACUCAUCAGAAGAAUCGUUAAUGAUGAUUGGGAGGCAAGCUAUUCUACUCUUGUUCUGUUUCUCCAUUUUACAUCUUUACAAUAGAUAGUACUUACUAGUUCAUGCAUUAACGGUUUUUCUGAUCACUUUGGC